This 511-nucleotide ribosomal RNA is filed under the name uncultured Pseudomonadota bacterium. RNAcentral describes it as "bacterial SSU rRNA". It matches the Rfam family "Bacterial small subunit ribosomal RNA", at positions 355 to 856 of the family's 1533-position model. Lineage: Bacteria; Pseudomonadati; Pseudomonadota. The record is from RNAcentral.
UGGGGAAUAUUGGACAAUGGGGGCAACCCUGAUCCAGCGACGCCGCGUGUGUGAAGAAGGCCUGCGGGUUGUAAAGCACUUUUAGUGGGGAUGAAAAGCUCAGGGUUAACACCUCUGGGUCUUGACCUAACCCACAGAAAAAGCACCGGCUAACUCUGUGCCAGCAGCCGCGGUAAUACAGAGGGUGCAAGCGUUAAUCGGAAUUACUGGGCGUAAAGCGUGCGUAGACGGUUAUGUAAGUCGGGUGUGAAAGCCCCGGGCUCAACCUGGGAAUUGCAUUCGAGACUGCAUAGCUAGGGUGCGGAAGAGGGAAGCGGAAUUUCCGGUGUAGCGGUGAAAUGCGUAGAUAUCGGAAGGAACACCAGUGGCGAAAGCGGCUUCCUGGUCCAGCUACCGACGUUCAGGCACGAAAGCGUGGGGAGCAAACAGGAUUAGAUACCCUGGUAGUCCACGCCAUAAACGAUGAGGACUAGACGUUGAGAGGGUAAGCCUCCCAGUCGUCGCAGCUAAC